This 301-nucleotide ribosomal RNA is filed under the name uncultured bacterium. RNAcentral describes it as "partial 16S ribosomal RNA". It matches the Rfam family "Bacterial small subunit ribosomal RNA", at positions 509 to 807 of the family's 1533-position model. The record is from RNAcentral.
CAGUAGCCGCGGGAAUACAGAGGGUGCGAGCGUUAAUCGGAAUUACUGGGCGUAAAGCGCGCGUAGACGGUUUUGUAAGUCAGAUGUGAAAUUCCCGGGCUUAACCUGGGAACUGCGCUUGUGACUGCACAGCUAGAGUAUGGCAGAGGGGGGUGGAACUCCACGUGUAGCAGUGAAAUGCGUAGAGAUGUGGAGGAACACCGAUGGCGAAGGCAGCCCCCUGGGCCAAUACUGACGCUCAUGCACGAAAGCGUGGGGAGCAAACAGGAUUAGAUACCCGCGUAGUCCCUGUCUCUUAUAC